GACGAACGCUGGUGGCGUGCUUAACACAUGCAAGUCGAACGGAAAGGCCCUGCUUUUGUGGGGUGCUCGAGUGGCGAACGGGUGAGUAACACGUGAGUAACCUGCCCUUGACUUUGGGAUAACUUCAGGAAACUGGGGCUAAUACCGGAUAGGAGCUCCUGCUGCAUGGUGGGGGUUGGAAAGUUUCGGCGGUUGGGGAUGGACUCGCGGCUUAUCAGCUUGUUGGUGGGGUAGUGGCUUACCAAGGCUUUGACGGGUAGCCGGCCUGGGAGGGUGACCGGCCACAUUGGGACUGAGAUACGGCCCAGACUCCUACGGGAGGCAGCAGUGGGGAAUAUUGCACAAUGGGCGGAAGCCUGAUGCAGCAACGCCGCGUGCGGGAUGACGGCCUUCGGGUUGUAAACCGCUUUCGCCUGUGACGAAGCGUGAGUGACGGUAAUGGGUAAAGAAGCACCGGCUAACUACGUG
RNAcentral lists this ribosomal RNA (468 nucleotides) under uncultured bacterium. Its description in RNAcentral is "partial 16S ribosomal RNA". It matches the Rfam family "Bacterial small subunit ribosomal RNA", at positions 28 to 507 of the family's 1533-position model. The record is from RNAcentral.